AGUGAACGCUGGCGGUAGGCCUAACACAUGCAAGUCGAACGGCAGCACAGUAAGAGCUUGCUCUUACGGGUGGCGAGUGGCGGACGGGUGAGGAAUACAUCGGAAUCUACUUUUUCGUGGGGGAUAACGUAGGGAAACUUACGCUAAUACCGCAUACGACCUACGGGUGAAAGCAGGGGAUCUUCGGACCUUGCGCGAUUGAUGAGCCGAUGUCGGAUUAGCUAGUUGGCGGGGUAAAGGCCCACCAAGGCGACGAUCCGUAGCUGGUCUGAGAGGAUGAUCAGCCACACUGGAACUGAGACACGGUCCAGACUCCUACGGGAGGCAGCAGUGGGGAAUAUUGGACAAUGGGCGCAAGCCUGAUCCAGCCAUACCGCGUGGGUAAAGAAGGCCUUCGGGUUGUAAAGCCCUUUUGUUGGGAAAGAAAAGCAGCAGGUUAAUACCCCGCUGUUCUGACGGUACCCAAAGAAUAAGCACCGGCUAACUUCGUG
Molecule: ribosomal RNA, 491 nt
Filed under: uncultured bacterium
Lineage: Bacteria
Description: partial 16S ribosomal RNA
Rfam family: Bacterial small subunit ribosomal RNA
Source: RNAcentral